GGCAGACGGGUGAGUAACGCGUGGGAACGUGCCCUUCAGUUCGGAAUAACCCAGGGAAACUUGGGCUAAUACCGGAUACGUGCGAGAGCAGAAAGAUUUAUCGCUGAAGGAUCGGCCCGCGUCUGAUUAGCUAGUUGGUGAGGUAAUGGCUCACCAAGGCGACGAUCAGUAGCUGGUCUGAGAGGAUGAUCAGCCACAUUGGGACUGAGACACGGCCCAAACUCCUACGGGAGGCAGCAGUGGGGAAUAUUGGACAAUGGGCGCAAGCCUGAUCCAGCCAUGCCGCGUGAGUGAUGAAGGCCUUAGGGUUGUAAAGCUCUUUCGUCCGGGACGAUAAUGACGGUACCGGAAGAAGAAGCCCCGGCUAACUUCGUGCCAGCCGCCGCGG
This 388-nucleotide ribosomal RNA is filed under the name uncultured bacterium. RNAcentral describes it as "bacterial SSU rRNA". It matches the Rfam family "Bacterial small subunit ribosomal RNA", at positions 97 to 520 of the family's 1533-position model. The record is from RNAcentral.